RNAcentral lists this ribosomal RNA (439 nucleotides) under uncultured bacterium. Its description in RNAcentral is "partial 16S ribosomal RNA". It matches the Rfam family "Bacterial small subunit ribosomal RNA", at positions 338 to 795 of the family's 1533-position model. The record is from RNAcentral.
CCUACGGGAGGCAGCAGUGGGGAAUAUUGCACAAUGGGGGAACCCCGAAGCAGCAAGGGCGAGUGGGGGAAGAAGGACUCCGGUGCGGAAAGCCCUGUUAGCAGGGGAGAAAAUGACAGGACCUGACCAAGAAGCCCCGGCUAACUACGUGCCAGCAGCCGCGGUAAUACGUAGGGGGCAAGCGUUAUCCGGAUUUACUGGGUGGAAAGGGAGCGCAGGCGGUAUGGCAAGUCAGAUGGGAAAACCCAGGGCCCAACCCUGGGACUGCAUUUGAAACUGCCAUACUGGAGUGCCGGAGAGGUAAGUGGAAUUCCUAGUGUAGCGGUGAAAUGCGUAGAUAUUAGGAGGAACACCAGUGGCGAAGGCGGCUUACUGGACGGUAACUGACGCUGAGGCUCGAAAGCGUGGGGAGCAAACAGGAUUAGAUACCCGAGUAGUC